AUUUCAGAUCUACGGUUUGGUUGUGGGUGGAAGAUGAUGAAGAUAUCAUAGAUCUACCGUUUGGUGGCCAGAUUGAUCUGUGUUGGAGGUUAAAGAAUGGGUUCAAGCUCAGUUGGGUUGGAUUGAAGAAGAAACCAGACGUUUAGCUUCCAUUCAAGAGGUAUCCGGUGCCGCAGCGGGCGGAAAGUUAUGGAUGCAGUGAAGAGUAUUUUGGAUGGUGGAUUAGAGAGAGGAAAAUGGGUGUUUGAAUCAAUUAUGAAAUUGAAAAGCUCUGUUUGCCACAAAGGCUGCGUAUUGCUUGUCAGCUGUUUCUACCGUGUUGCUUGGUUUCAGGCGUUAUUGUGCAGAAUGAAGUAAACCUGUUGGGAUCUGCGGAAUUCUUUAUGAAGGAAUCAAAGUUUUUAAUACACGGAAGCGGUAAAGACAAUCCCUAGGCGGUACCUCACCGCCGACUAGCGCCUAGCGCCUUCUACAACAUUGAAUCCUCCAACGGGAUUCGUGUUUGAAAAGCAACAAAUGCGAGGAUUAUAUUUCAAUCAAUCUCCCGCAAAGGAGGAACAACGAUUCAAUGAUUGCAACUGUUGAAUCAACAAAACUAGAUUAUGAAUGGAGGAACGACUGAACAAAACAUGUUGGAGCUGAUUCAUUCGCCUUGGCGAAGGGAUCCAGUUUGUGAGGUGCGGUGUCUUGGCGUUCCGACUGUCGACAUGCGAACCCUCUGUCGCGUUCUACAAGUUUGUUCAGACAAUUUUGAUUCAUCACUUAGGUUCAGUAAGUAGAUUAAGUUAACUGUUUAAGUGAAGCAUUUAUGGUUAAUGUUAGUUGAAAUGAAAGGAGAAAACUGGUGGUAAGAUUCUUCUUAGGACUGGUGGUGUGUUGUAUCUUUUUCGGGGUAAACAUUAUGAUCCGCACAACAGGCCGAAAUACCAUGUGAUUCUGUGGAAGCCUGCAACUCCGGUUUACCCAAAGCUUAUACAAGAACCGGAAGGGUUGACAAAAGAAGAAGCUGAUGAGUUGAGAAUGAAAGGGAAAAAACUUCCCCCGAUUUGUAAACUAGGUAAGAACGGUUGGAGAGUAGAAAUGUCUCACAACUGUUGAGGAUCCGGAGGUGGCGGAGGGCGCUUGGAGGUCGUGGUCGCUCUGGUGGUUCUGAUUUGAAAUGCUACCAGUGUGGUGACGUUGGCCAGUUUGCUCGUGAGUGCCGUGGUGGCGGUGGUGAUAGACGCCGCCGCCGCGGCCGUAGCCCAGUCAACAGGUACCGACGGAGUCCUAGCUACGGUCAGAGAUCCUACAUCAAGCUUUACGAUUCUCCACCAAAAUCAUCAACCGAAGAAGACGAUGAGCUAGCAAAAUUUCCUGCUUCUCGGAAGAAGAAAUUGAGGUUGAAAUUCUGACUGUGAUGCCUAGCAAGUCAUUUUUUAUUCAGAUGGGAUCUGCAAAUUAUUAAUUUGACAUGCUCAAAUUGGAGGCAGGAUAGUGGUGGAGAAGACGAAAGGAAAGAAGGCAGAGGUGGUGACGAAAGAGUACAACAUUAAUCUUGACAAACGGCUGCCUGGAUGGUAUAUUGUUUAUAGUGGUUGAUUAAAAUUUUCGAGUUCUGUGUUGGAUUUUUGAUAUUCUGAUGGCUUGAUUCACUCUUUUUGAUGUUCGAUUGCGUCUAAAGUUGUGAAAAUUUUAAUCGCAGUUGCGAUUCUGUUAAAAUGUAGUUAUGUCUACUUGAUGUGUGGAUCAAUUGUACACAAUUUGUAGGGUUUUAAUUUGUUUAUUGGUUAUUGCUGAUGCUUUAUUAAUUUGGAUGCCAA
This is a long non-coding RNA of Helianthus annuus (common sunflower), 1802 nucleotides long. RefSeq lists it as uncharacterized. The transcript is spliced from 10 exons. Lineage: Eukaryota; Viridiplantae; Streptophyta; Magnoliopsida; Asterales; Asteraceae. The record is from RefSeq and is a predicted model, not a curated record.